RNAcentral lists this ribosomal RNA (266 nucleotides) under uncultured Staphylococcus sp. RNAcentral's name for it is "partial 16S ribosomal RNA". It matches the Rfam family "Bacterial small subunit ribosomal RNA", at positions 96 to 355 of the family's 1533-position model. The record is from RNAcentral. Lineage: Bacteria; Bacillati; Bacillota; Bacilli; Caryophanales; Staphylococcaceae.
CGGCGGACGGGNGGAGUAACACGUGGAUAACCUACCUAUAAGACUGGGAUAACUUCGGGAAACCGGAGCUAAUACCGGAUAAUAUAUUGAACCGCAUGGUCAAUAGUGAAAGACGGUUUUGCUGUCACUUAUAGAUGGAUCCGCGCCGCAUUAGCUAGUUGGUAAGGUAACGGCUUACCAAGGCAACGAUGCGUAGCCGACCUGAGAGGGUGAUCGGCCACACUGGAACUGAGACACGGUCCAGACUCCUACGGGAGGCAGCAGUC